GCCAAGCAGCCGCGGUAAUUCCAGCUCCAAUAGCGUAUACUAAAGUUGUUGCGGUUAAAAAGCUCGUAGUUGGAUCUUGGAAUGUGUUCAAGCGGGUCAGCUUCUGGCUGUGCGCUGCUUGACGUGUUCUUCUAUUUGGUUUUGGUGCGGUGCGCUUAACUGCGUGUCGCUCCCGGCCGAAACGUUUACCUUGAAAAAAUUAGAGUGUUCAAAGCAGACCUGUUUGAGUCUGAAUAUUCGUGCAUGGAAUAAUGAAAUAUGAAUUCGGUUCUAUUUUGUUGGUUUUCGGAACUCGGGUUAAUGAUCAAGAGGGACAGACGGGGGCAUUCGUACUCUGCCGUUAGAGGUGAAAUUCUUGGAUCGGCGGAAGACGCGCAACUGCGAAAGCAUUUGCCAAGAAUGUUUUCUUUAAUCAAGAACGAUAGUCGGAGGUUCGAAGACGAUCAGAUACCGUCCUAGUUUCGACUGUAAACUAUGCCAGCUAACGAUCAGACAGAGUUCUCUACGACUUGUCUGGCAGUUUCCGGGAAACCAAAGCGUUUGGGUUCCGGGGGAAGUAUGGUUGCAAAGCUGAAACUUAAAGGAAUUGACGGAAGGGCACCACCAGGAGUGGAGCCUGCGGCUUAAUUUGACUCAACACGGGGAAACUCACCCGGCCCGGACACAGUGAGGAUUGACAGAUUGAGAGUUCUUUCUUGAUUCUGUGGGUGGUGGUGCAUGGCCGUUCUUAGUUGGUGGAGCGAUUUGUCUGGUUAAUUCCGAUAACGAACGAGACUCUGGCAUGUUAAAUAGUCGCGGAAGUGCGUAUGCACUUGCCGAAUUGACUUCUUAGAGGGACUAGUGAUUUUAAUUCACACGAGAUUGAGCAAUAACAGGUCUGUGAUG
This 885-nucleotide ribosomal RNA is filed under the name uncultured eukaryote. Its description in RNAcentral is "SSU rRNA". It matches the Rfam family "Eukaryotic small subunit ribosomal RNA", at positions 566 to 1469 of the family's 1831-position model. The record is from RNAcentral.